GCGCCUAGGGGCGGGGGCUGGGAACGCCCCGCCGGAGUGGGCUGGGGGGUUGGUCCCCGGCUCUUUCUCGGCGGUUGUUUCCACUAGGCUGGGCCGUGCGGGAUGGGAAGUUUUAUUGAGAUAUAAUUGACAUACGGCACUGUAUAACCAAUCAAGGUUUUACACAACGCAGAGUACUAAGGAUCACGGCCCCAAUUAAGAUUUUAAACUGGGAAAGUUCUGGACAGAACAUUUCCUUGGCUGCUAGGAAGCUCAGACUGACUUUGAAACCCACCUUUGGCAAAAUAAACAAAGAUCUCUGCAGUCACUUCAAGCAUUUUUGCACCAAUAGAUUAAGAAAGGUGAACAGAUGUGCAUCAAAAGAUUUAGCUCCUGGCUCACUGCUGCUCUCUCUAACACUGCUCCUGUCAUGAUUCCUGGGAUGCCCUUGCUUCCUAGCCACCGAGAAAACUUCAGCAAACAGGAGAACUUCCAUAACUCACCUGCCACAUCCCAGCUACCAGCCCUGUACUCGAAUCCUCUGCCUCCGUCCUGUUCCUACAAUGGAUCCUAACCCCCGGCACCUAUUCAGAAACCGGCCUCUGGCAGUUCCUCCCUUUCUGUCCCUGCUUUUCCCUGGAUUGUUCCCAUCAACACACAAAUAAAUAUGCGGUCGUUUCUCCCAUCUUAAAAACCUGCUCUUUACCCCGACUCCCUUUCCAACUACUGCUGUUUUCCUUCCUUUACAACAAAACUGAAAGAUUUGUCUAUAGUUACUAUUUCCAAUUACUCUUCUCAUUCUUUUUUUUUUGAGCUCUAAUUCACAUACCAUAAAAAUC
Non-coding RNA from Kogia breviceps (pygmy sperm whale), 818 nucleotides. NCBI's taxonomy places the organism in Eukaryota, Metazoa, Chordata, Mammalia, Artiodactyla, Physeteridae. The record is from RefSeq and is a predicted model, not a curated record.